UACGUAGGGGGCUAGCGUUGUCCGGAAUCAUUGGGCGUAAAGCGCGUGUAGGCGGUCCGGUAAGUCCGCUGUGAAAGUCGGGGGCUCAACCCUCGGAUGCCGGUGGAUACUGUCGGGCUUGAGUACGGAAGAGGCGAGUGGAAUUCCGUGGUGUAGCGGUGAAAUGCGCAGAUAUCAGGAGGAACACCAAUUGCGAAGGCAGCUCGCUGGGGACGUUACUGACGCUGAGACGCGAAAGCGUGGGGAGCAAACAGG
RNAcentral lists this ribosomal RNA (255 nucleotides) under uncultured bacterium. RNAcentral describes it as "partial 16S ribosomal RNA". It matches the Rfam family "Bacterial small subunit ribosomal RNA", at positions 524 to 776 of the family's 1533-position model. The record is from RNAcentral.